GGCGUCCGGCACAGGUGGUGCAUGGUUGUCGUCAGCUCGUGUCGUGAGAUGUUGGGUUAAGUCCCGCAACGAGCGCAACCCCUGUCCUAUGUUGCCAGCGGGUAAUGCCGGGGACUCAUGGGAGACUGCCGGGGUCAACUCGAAGGAAGGGGGGGACAACGUCAAGUCAUCAUGCCCCUUAUGUCCAGGGCUUCACGCAUGCUACAAUGGCCGGUACAAAGGGCUGCGAUACCGUGAGGUGGAGCGAAUCCCUUAAAGCCGGUCUCAGUUCGGAUCGGGGUCUGCAACUCGACCCCGUGAAGCCGGAGUCGCUAGUAAUCGCAAAUCAGCAACGCUGCGGUGAAUACGUUCCCGGGCCUUG
Molecule: ribosomal RNA, 361 nt
Filed under: uncultured Actinomycetes bacterium
Lineage: Bacteria; Bacillati; Actinomycetota; Actinomycetes
Description: bacterial SSU rRNA
Rfam family: Bacterial small subunit ribosomal RNA
Source: RNAcentral